This 259-nucleotide unclassified non-coding RNA is filed under the name uncultured Eurotiales. Its description in RNAcentral is "sequence contains 5.8S rRNA gene, ITS2, 28S rRNA gene". The stretch from base 1 to 52 matches the Rfam family "5.8S ribosomal RNA", at positions 103 to 154 of the family's 154-position model. Lineage: Eukaryota; Fungi; Ascomycota; Eurotiomycetes; Eurotiales. The record is from RNAcentral.
AACGCACAUUGCGCCCCCUGGUAUUCCGGGGGGCAUGCCUGUCCGAGCGUCAUUGCUGCCCAUCAAGCACGGCUUGUGUGUUGGGUCGUCGUCCCCUCUCCGGGGGGGACGGGCCCCAAAGGCAGCGGCGGCACCGCGUCCGAUCCUCGAGCGUAUGGGGCUUUGUCACCCGCUCUGUAGGCCCGGCCGGCGCUUGCCGAACGCAAAACAAUCUUUCCAGGUUGACCUCGGAUCAGGUAGGGAUACCCGCUGAACUUAA